GGAGUAUGGGCCGUGUCUCAGUCCCAUUGUGGCUGAUCAUCCUCUCAAACCAGCUACUGAUCGUCGCCUUGGUGGUCCAUUACACCCCCAACUAGCUAAUCAGAUGCAGACUCAUCCUGAAGCGAUAAAUCUUUCACGAAUAGUAUCUCAACUACGCGCAUAUGGGGUAUUAGCAGGAGUUUCCCUCUGUUGUCCCCCACUUCAGGGCAGAUUCUCUACACAUUACUCACCCGUCCGCCACUUUCCAUCCACCGAAGUGAAUUUCUCGUUCGACUUGCAUGUGUUAAGCCUGUAGCUAGCGUUCAUC
This 307-nucleotide ribosomal RNA is filed under the name uncultured cyanobacterium. RNAcentral's name for it is "partial 16S ribosomal RNA". The record is from RNAcentral. Lineage: Bacteria; Bacillati; Cyanobacteriota.